AAGAAAGAGCGAGAAAGAGAGUCAUGGCGACACCUCCGUUAGGGUCUACUGGAAACACUGAUAGCGGCGGCUCUGUGAGAACCCUUUAGAUGCACUAUGGCACGGUGCCUGCUUCAGGUGGCUGCUGAGGAGAAGAAACCCUUCAAUGCAUGCAAAGCACUCACGCCUGGCACGCAGGGAGCACCCAGAGGAAGCACUAGUGACCUCCCAGGCUGGAAACACCACAAGGACAGGGCACUGUCAGCUUCGCUGCUGCCCUGUGGGGCUCCACAUCACAGACUGAUAUGCUAGCAGGACCGCACACAUCUGCUGCCCAGGAAAGGACGGUUUCGUAUUUUCUGGAUUAUGACCAGCUAUUGAUCUACUUAUUCUACAAUCUGUAACCUACGUUUUGAUUUAUUUGGUCUUUUCUCUUAGACGGCCUGCCUACCAGCUAUGAAAAAGAACAGAAAACCACCAGGCAAACACUCCAGUUAUGGCCAACAAGUACUAACAGCUGACGAGGUGAAAUCCUGUCUGAAGUCACAGAUUUUGCUGAAGUCCCUUGGACUGUCAUCUCAAUUUCCUUCCCGAGAGACAGCCAAGACCAUGAACCUGGCGAGGUCCCUCCAACCCACGGUGAAAUAGCUUCUCGUUUACACGUGUCCAAGGACACAGGUCUCCUUUUAUAGAUGUCUAAUUUACAUGAAUGUUACGCUUCUGGCUUCCUCCUCACCUAGGUUUUCUAAAAUGCUGUAGAGGACUCAGUCACAGCGCUCUCUUGUAUUUCAUUUACCCAUUCCCUUGCUGUGGUUACUCGGUUGUUUCCAAACUAUUUCCAACAAUGCAGCAAUGAACAUCCUGUACCUGACUCCCUGUCCACUCCAGAAGUUUCUCCAGGGCUAGGCUCUCAAGCCGUUUUUGACGCAGUUACCAUUAUAAUGCUAUACAUACGCACAUAUGUAAGAAACACACAUGGAAGAAAAGUUUCACAAAACAUGACUUAACCUAACAUGCAGUGUUCUCUGAUUUCUUUAGAUUUUAUGCCAUUUAACUCUUUUUAAGCCUCUCAUAACCCACCAGAUUAACUGUUUUUAUUUAUAUAAAUUUAAGGGGUGGGGGUCACACCUGUAGUCCCAGCACUUUGGGAGACUGAAGUGGGAGGAUCACUUGAGCCCAGGAGUUCGAGACCAGCCUGGGCAACAUGGCGAAACCCUGUCUCUACCAAAAAUACAAAAAUUAGCUAGGCAUAGUGGUGCACACCUGUAGUCUCAGCUACUCGGGAGGCUGAGGUUGCAGUGAGUUGAGAUCGUGCCACUGCACUCCAGCCUGGGCAACAAAGCAAGACCCUGUAUCUAAACAAAUAAACAAAAAGAAUCUAAGAUUCUGUGAGACCAAGAAGCUGUCUUUGGCCAGACAUAGUGGCUCAAGCCUGUAAUCUCAGCAAUUUGGGAGGCCAAGGCAAACGGAUCACUUGAGGUCAGGAGUUUGAGACCAGCCCAGUCAAUAUGGGUGAAACCCCAUCUCUACUAAAAAUACAAAAAUUAGCCAGGCAUGGUAGCACACGCCUGUAAUCCCAGCUACUCUGAGGCUGAGGCCUGAGAAUCGCUUGAGCCCGGGAGGUGGAGGUUGCGGUGAGCCGAGCAAGAUGGCACCACUGCACUCCAGCCUGGGCUACAGAGAGAGACUCCAUCUCAAAAAAAAAAAAAAACAAAAAAAAAAACCUGUCUUUGAAACAUAACUUCAUGUCACUUAACACCUCAACAAUGUAAUAAUUUCCUUCACUUUCCCAAAACUUAAAGAAACAAAUGAACAAAAUGG
Molecule: long non-coding RNA, 1800 nt
Filed under: Homo sapiens (human)
Lineage: Eukaryota; Metazoa; Chordata; Mammalia; Primates; Hominidae
Description: HSALNT0356091
Source: RNAcentral